RNAcentral lists this long non-coding RNA (763 nucleotides) under Manihot esculenta (cassava). Its description in RNAcentral is "long non-coding RNA (MESC_LNC005688)". Lineage: Eukaryota; Viridiplantae; Streptophyta; Magnoliopsida; Malpighiales; Euphorbiaceae. The record is from RNAcentral.
UUUUCAGAGCUAGCCUGAGGUGAGUAGAAUGGAUCUUUACGUUUCAAAGUAAAUAAAUUUAGAGCAUGUUCAUGCAUCACAAAUGCCAUGUGAUAUAUUAGGAUGUUUGCAUUAGAAUUCACGAAUAUGUUGCAUUGCAUAAUAUAAUGUUGAUGUGGAUGGGUGUUGAAUGAUCCAUUAGCCCUCGUAUGAUGACAUGAUAUGAUAUGAUAUGGUAUGGUAUGUAAGACCAGUGAGGCCCAUUCUACGCCCCUGGUACGAUGUAAGAGAAAGACCAGUGAGGCCCAUUCUACGCCCCUGGUACGAUGUAAGAGAAAGACCAGUGAGGCUCAUACUACGCCCCUGGCAUAUUGGAAUGUUAUUGGAAUGUUAUGUUAUAUUAUGUAAGAGAAAGACCAGUGAGACCCAUGCUACGCCCCUGACACUAUUGGAAUGUGUAAAGGGCUAUUGGUGACAAGUCCAUCCUUGAUGUGAUAUGUUUGUGAUGUGAUGCAUUUCAUGAAAGCAUGAAUUUUAAUAUAAUAUUUUUACUAUUCUGCUCACUGGACUCUAAUAGCUCACCCCAUUCCCUUAAUCCCCCAGGUUUGCAAGUACGGGAUAGAUCAGAAAGUCAAUAAGAGUAAAGUCAUGUUUUAUAUAAUAGCUAGCUGUGGACAUAAGAAAGACAUUGUAAUGUAAAGUAUAGUAAUGUAGUGUAAUGUAAUGAUGUUUAUUGAGGAUUAGAGUUGUACUUGACCCUAGUAUGUUGGUUAAUCCCUUUUUG